GUCGUGACUGCGUGCCUUUUGAAGAAUGAGCCUGCGAGUUUGCGGUGUGUUGCGAGGUUAACCCGUGUGGGGAAGCCGUAGCGAAAGCGAGUCCGAAUAGGGCGGUUUAGUAGCGCGCUCAAGACCCGAAGCGGAGUGAUCUAGCCAUGGGCAGGUUGAAGCGGAGGUAAGACUUCGUGGAGGACCGAACCCACCAGGGUUGAAAACCUGGGGGAUGACCUGUGGUUAGGGGUGAAAGGCCAAUCAAACUCCGUGAUAGCUGGUUCUCCCCGAAAUGCAUUUAGGUGCAGCGUCGUGUGUUUCUUGCCGGAGGUAGAGCACUGGAUAGGCGAUGGGCCCUACCGGGUUACUGACCUUAGCCAAACUCCGAAUGCCGGUAAGUGAGAGCGCGGCAGUGAGACUGUGGGGGAUAAGCUCCAUGGUCGAGAGGGAAACAGCCCAGAGCAUCGACUAAGGCCCCUAAGCGUACGCUAAGUGGGAAAGGAUGUGGAGUCGCAGAGACAACCAGGAGGUUGGCUUAGAAGCAGCCAUCCUUGAAAGAGUGCGUAAUAGCUCACUGGUCAAGUGAUUCCGCGCCGACAAUGUAGCGGGGCUCAAGCGUACCGCCGAAGUCGUGUCAUUGCAGCAUGUGGUCCAACGGCCGCUGUGAUGGGUAGGGGAGCGUCGUGUGCCGGGUGAAGCAGCCGUGUAAGCGAGUUGUGGAUGGUUCACGAGUGAGAAUGCAGGCAUGAGUAGCGAUACACACGUGGGAAACGUGUGCGCCGAUUGACUAAGGGUUCCUGGGUCAAGCUGAUCUGCCCAGGGUAAGUCGGGACCUAAGGCGAGGCCGACAGGCGUAGUCGAUGGACAACCGGUUGAUAUUCCGGUACCCGCUUUGAAACGCCCAGUAUCGAAUCCUCUGAUGCUAAGGCCGUGAAGCCGUCCUGGAUCCUUCGGGUGAAGGGGAGUGGUGGAGCCGCCGGUCCAAGGUGGUAGUAGGUAAGUGAUGGGGUGACGCAGGAAGGUAGUCCAUCCCGGGCGGUGGUUGUCCCGGGGUAAGGGUGUAGGACGUCAUGCAGGUAAAUCCGUGUGACAUUGAGUCUGAGACCUGAUGCCGAGCCGAUUGUGGUGAAGUGGAUGAUCCUAUGCUGUCGAGAAAAGCCUCUAGCGAGUUUCAUGGCGGCCCGUACCCUAAACCGACUCAGGUGGUCAGGUAGAGAAUACCGAGGCGUUCGGGUGAACUAUGGUUAAGGAACUCGGCAAAAUGCCCCCGUAACUUCGGGAGAAGGGGGGCCAUUGCUGGUGAUGGGAUUUUCUCCUUGAGCUGGUGGUGGCCGCAGAGACCAGCGAGAAGCGACUGUUUACUAAAAACACAGGUCCGUGCGAAGCCGUAAGGCGAUGUAUACGGACUGACGCCUGCCCGGUGCUGGAACGUUAAGGGGACCGGUUAGUCACAUUUCGGUGUGGCGAGGCUGAGAACUUAAGCGCCAGUAAACGGCGGUGGUAACUAUAACCAUCCUAAGGUAGCGAAAUUCCUUGUCGGGUAAGUUCCGACCUGCACGAAUGGCGUAACGACUUCUCGACUGUCUCAACCAUAGGCCCGGUGAAAUUGCAUUACGAGUAAAGAUGCUCGUUUCGCGCAGCAGGACGGAAAGACCCCGGGACCUUUACUAUAGCUUGAUAUUGGUGUUCGGUUCGGCUUGUGUAGGAUAGGUGGGAGACUGUGAACUCUGGACGCCAGUUCAGGGGGAGUCGUUGUUGAAAUACCACUCUGGUCGUGCUGGAUGUCUAACCUGGGUCCGUGAUCCGGAUCAGGGACAGUGUCUGGUGGGUAGUUUAACUGGGGCGGUUGCCUCCUAAAGGGUAACGGAGGCGCCCAAAGGUUCCCUCAGCCUGGUUGGCAAUCAGGUGUUGAGUGUAAGUGCACAAGGGAGCUUGACUGUGAGACCGACGGGUCGAGCAGGGACGAAAGUCGGGACUAGUGAUCCGGCGGUGGCUUGUGGAAGCGCCGUCGCUCAACGGAUAAAAGGUACCCCGGGGAUAACAGGCUGAUCUUCCCCAAGAGUCCAUAUCGACGGGAUGGUUUGGCACCUCGAUGUCGGCUCGUCGCAUCCUGGGGCUGGAGUCGGUCCCAAGGGUUGGGCUGUUCGCCCAUUAAAGCGGUACGCGAGCUGGGUUUAGAACGUCGUGAGACAGUUCGGUCCCUAUCCGCUGUGCGCGUAGGAGUCUUGAGAAGGGCUGUCCCUAGUACGAGAGGACCGGGACGGACGAACCUCUGGUGUGCCAGUUGUUCUGCCAAGGGCAUGGCUGGUUGGCUACGUUCGGGAGGGAUAACCGCUGAAAGCAUCUAAGCGGGAAGCCUGCUUCGAGAUGAGGACUCCCACCCACUUGAUGGGUUAAGGCUCCCAGUAGACGACUGGGUUGAUAGGCCAGAUAUGGAAGCCGGGUGACCGGUGGAGUUGACUGGUACUAAUAGGCCGAGGGCUUGUCCUC
This 2472-nucleotide ribosomal RNA is filed under the name Streptomyces iranensis. RNAcentral describes it as "23S ribosomal RNA". It matches the Rfam family "Bacterial large subunit ribosomal RNA", at positions 590 to 2925 of the family's 2925-position model. Lineage: Bacteria; Bacillati; Actinomycetota; Actinomycetes; Kitasatosporales; Streptomycetaceae. The record is from RNAcentral.